Molecule: long non-coding RNA, 1545 nt
Filed under: Brassica napus (rape)
Lineage: Eukaryota; Viridiplantae; Streptophyta; Magnoliopsida; Brassicales; Brassicaceae
Description: long non-coding RNA (BNAP_LNC012068)
Source: RNAcentral
UUACGGAUGUAUCCAAGAACGAUUUCAUCAGUAACUUUGUUCCCAUCUUGGUCAGUAACGUUGAAGACAUCCAUGAACCAGCCACCAUCAGAGGAGAUGUAAGCUUUCUUGAUUGUGAGGUUAAGAUCAGUCAAGACUUGAACAACUUCCAGAAGAAUCCCAUGUUUAUUCGCACUAUCCACCUAAUAAACCCACAAAUCAAAACGUAUUUAUCAAACUAAAAAUCAAAACCUAAUCUCAGAGAAGACUCCAAAGUUACCUUAAUGACGGUAACGUUCUUGCAGACUUCGUUAUCGAUCACAACCCUUGGAGGAUUCACUCUUCUGAUAAACUUAGCAAUCUCAUCAUCCAUAUGGUAUGAAUAGCUCAAGCAGACAUCUGAAACAACAAUCAAAACCAUCAGAUUCGAUCAUACCCUAACAUUCUGAAACGAAACAGAGACUAAACCUAGAACACGAUUAUAAACCAACCCAUGAUAGAAAGACCUAAAAUUUAACAAACCCAUAAUGAAAAGACCUAAAAUUGAACAAACCCAGAUACGGAAACUAAUCAUCAGAGCCAUAACUGGAUCAAUCAAUCAAUCAAUCAAUCAUCAAAUCGAAAUCGGAAAAAACAGAGAGAAGUGACGAACCCAUAUUCGAUUCGUUGGUGAUUCGUUAGAAGAAAGAAUCGAAAGAGGGGAAUUGAUGAUCGAUCGAUGUAUCUGGAGGAGGAAGAAGACGAAGACGAUCGCAACUGUAAUUGCCAGAGAGUAUAAAGUUUGUUAAAUUUAUAUAUAAAAGAGAGAGAUUAUUAAUUUUAAUUUUAAUCUAAAAAGGGUUAAAUUACUUGACACUGUGCUCUGUGUCUGACACAGAUUCUCCUCAAAACCUGCAAAAAAAAAAUCAAUUUAUUUUCUGUUAAGUUUGUGAUUGUGAUGAGGAGGCAGAUGAGGAGGGGUCUACUCAUAAAUACACUUGGCCAGCCGCCCUUCGUUUUCAGGGAAAGAUUAGAUUUGUAAACCGGUCGGUUUACGAGAUCCUUCUUUCAAUGGUGGUAGAUUUCGAGAUAAUGACGUUUCUCUUAGCUGGGUAGCAAAUUACUGACAAUUUUUUUUCUGGGAUCUCAAUUGGGAUACAUAUUGAUGAGAUUUUUACGAGUUACACUGCAGUUAUUGGGGGGGGGGGGGGGGGGGGGGGGUGUUGGACCAAUGGUUGAUCUAGGGCUGUAGCAAGAAGAGUCAUCAGGGCCAAGAGACUGCACACAAGAAAAGCAGUUAAUAAACCAUAUCAUUAAAUGUAGAAGAAGAGGUUGAUGAUGGCUUUCUACUUACUUUACGGAUGUAUCCAAGAACGAUUUCAUCAGUAACUUUGUUCCCAUCUUGGUCAGUAACGUUGAAGACAUCCAUGAACCAGCCACCAUCAGAGGAGAUGUAAGCUUUCUUGAUUGUGAGGUUAAGAUCAGUCAAGACUUGAACAACUUCCAGAAGAAUCCCAUGUUUAUUCGCACUAUCCACCUAAUAAACCCACAAAUCAAAACGUAUUUAUCAAACUAAAAAUCAAAACC